UCUGAGCGAUGUGAUUAACCCUCUGU
Molecule: non-coding RNA, 26 nt
Filed under: Drosophila erecta
Lineage: Eukaryota; Metazoa; Arthropoda; Insecta; Diptera; Drosophilidae
Also listed under: 1 other name
Source: RNAcentral